This 1198-nucleotide long non-coding RNA is filed under the name Homo sapiens (human). RNAcentral's name for it is "HSALNT0324492". The record is from RNAcentral. Lineage: Eukaryota; Metazoa; Chordata; Mammalia; Primates; Hominidae.
UCCUCCUGGGAUACGGAAGGCACCGUGAUAGACAUCUGGGCAAGUCAACAGGAAGGUGGAUAUCCAAAUCUCUCUCUUCGCAAUGAGUUUCCAGUUAGAUGGAGGAGAGAGUAAUAAAACACAGAGCUGAGAUUCCUGACUUCACAGAUCCCUGAGGAGAUGUUUACUAAAGGGAAUCUUCUGGUCACUGUUACCUUCCUCCGUACUUACCUGCCUCAUGGAUAACACUGAAGAAUGCAGUUUACUUACAUCUUUUUCUGUUUGACAGAAGACAGUUAUUAGUUACCCUUGGGACAUCAAAAUGACCAAGGCAGUGUCUGCUAAGUAUUUGCUGAGACUCUGCUAUGAUUCUUUCAAGUCUAAAGACAGUUAUCUGAAUGAUAUCCCCGUGACAGUGGACUCCUGCACAUUCACAGUCCUGGAAGGAGCCUGUCCACAUUGGCAUUCUGGAAGUCCAUAAAAGACAAACGCAUAUGCAGUCCCCGAGAAAGCAUUGUUGUAAACAAAUCUGCACUAGAUGGAAACUCUGUUAUGUGGUGCCGGCAUGCAUGGAAGAGAACCCGAAAGGAAGAAGCUAUACGACUGGGGACACAUGUCUUAGAAGCACACUCAUUAGAUAAAGUGUCGCAUACUCUUUGAUAAGGUAAGGCUCCCUGGACGAGAUGUUUUACAGGUACCAUGAGCUCAGUGAAUUGCUUUUGGAAAGACACUCAGCGGAGUGGGCACCACGAGGUUAGGAGAAGCAGCUUCUGCUCGUCAUAACUUUGGCAAAUGUUUACACAUCAGUAAUGAAAAAUAUUCUCUUGGCGAUUUCAGGCUUGUUACUAUGGAUGUUGUUUGCUAACAUUGACUAUUUUUCCUAACUGCUUAUAGAAACUCCAGGCUGUCACCCAUCUGUUCUCUCAUCAAAGUAGUUUUGGGCCAGCAACUAUUUCAGACAUUUCUACAGUUUCAGAUGUCUCACUCUGCCUAUGACUGUAUGUUGUACUUGAGGACUGGACGCACAGGGUAAAGUGCAAAUAGCAAGCAUUCAGGUCCAACUCUCCUCCUUCUGGUUAACAAUAUGAAAGAAAGAGGUAGUAUCGGAAUUAUUUUAGUUCAAUGUAGCCAUUAUAAAAUGUGUAUAUAUUUUAAAACAUCAUGUGGUACAUGAUAAAUAUAUACAACUUUUAUUUUUCAAUAAAAAAUUAUAAAAAAA